AGUCUGCAACUUAGCAUCAAGUAACAAGACAUAAGCUCUCAUCCACCUCCGCAUGAAGGGCUUCCAUGAUUGCAAAGAAAGAAUUGAUAUCAAUAUAUUUCUUGACAGUUGAAGAGAUGUUGCUAUAUCAAUCAGUGAGGCUUCAUAUUUAGCUUGUACAUCUUGCAAGUCCUCUGAUGCUCCUGGCUUCCUUGAAUCUUUCUUUGUAAAGGGAAGGCAAAAAAGAGCUGCACCAGGUAAUUCUUUUUCUCUUCUUUCUUUUCCUGAAGCAAAGAUGAGACGUGGAAAAACAUCUAACAGCUUCUCAAUUUUGUUUCCAGACACCUUUUUCUGCUUUACUAAUCUUCGCCGGGUGAUGUGCUCGAAAGUUAUAAGUUUGACUUCAAAUCCUUCCAGCGCAGUAAGCACUUCAGGGUCAGUCUCGGACACAAGAUACUCCAAGUUUCUGUCCUUGAAGUCCGGAAUACUUCUUUCAAGAUGCUCUACCUCAUAACUGGUUAAUGCCACAAAGGCAGAUGCCCGAGCUUUGGACCAUAAGGAAGCUUGUCUACAAUCUUGGGAGGUUCCAAUAUUCCAUAGUAUCUUCAACACAUCUACUGAUGCCUCAGGGUAUGCUUGUGCAUCCAUCGCACCCCAGUUCAAAAGAAGACAGAGGCUGUGAGCAACCAUGGCGUUCGCUGAGUAGUUUAGCACAUGCUUUGCAAUCACAUCCCAAGCAGAAUAAAAAUCAAUGGCAUCGGCUUCACAGAGGUGGCCAAGGCUUUGAAGACCCAGAGACUGCACUAAAGGAUCUUGAUUCUCCACGCAAGCCGCAAUGGAUAAAAUAAGGUCCACUCCACGAUCAGGAUUUCUUCUGCAGAUAUCACAGAUGGAAACAGCCAUGCUAAUGCAAAUAUCUCGCUUAGACGCAAACCGAGUAAAUCUAUUCGCAAG
This 933-nucleotide unclassified non-coding RNA is filed under the name Hevea brasiliensis (rubber tree). The record is from RNAcentral. Lineage: Eukaryota; Viridiplantae; Streptophyta; Magnoliopsida; Malpighiales; Euphorbiaceae.